Long non-coding RNA from Serinus canaria (Common canary), 1617 nucleotides. RefSeq lists it as uncharacterized. The transcript is spliced from 2 exons. The record is from RefSeq and is a predicted model, not a curated record. NCBI's taxonomy places the organism in Eukaryota, Metazoa, Chordata, Aves, Passeriformes, Fringillidae.
CCCUUUGGCGAUUGCAUGGCCUGGCAUUUGUUUCCCCCGUGCGUGUCUCUCCAGUGAAUCCACCACAUUAGCUGUCUUGUCUCCAGCUCAUUUCCAUCAUCCCUGGUGUCCAUUGUGCUGUAGCUUUCUCCUGGUGUGCUCUGUCUUUGUCUCCCUUGGCCCUUGUAGAUCUAAAACCAGUUAAGUCCUGCUUCCCAGCUACUGCUGCUGUCAUCUUUUUGCCUGUUUCUGGCUGAGAAUCUUCCUCAGAGUGUCCGCUCUGUUUGCUGAACCUGUGGAGCCUGGUAAAUCAGAUACCUUAGAAAUCUGAAAAUUUAACAUUACAGACUCUUUAUGUAAUAGAAUCUACAAGCUGGUGAGAGUCCAUUUGUCCCCAGGGUCAGCCUGCAAGAGGAAGUCUGUCUGUCUCUCUCUGUCUGCUGCCCUUUCCUAGAAACUCCUUAGCACAAAGCUCUGCAAACUGAUGCUGUUCCUUUGCUUUUCUGGCUCCACCUAAAGAAGCUGCUUUCAUAUCUAAAGCUUUUCCUACUGGGCUGGCCUGGAAUCUGCCUCCAUUGUUCUGUCCUUGUUGACUUGCCAGGGGGUAAGGGGCCUGGAUUAGUACUUGUGGAGGAUACACAGGACUUGCACUGUUUCUGCCCUAUCCCAUGACCACUGCCUGGGCCCUCUUGUAUGGGAGAGCACUCUUCCCUGUCCUUGGCAAGGAGGGAGGCUCCCACAUCGACUUGGUCCUCUGCCUGCACCCACAAUGUACUCCCAAAGACUGCUGUGGUUCCUUAUCACCUUUUUAAAUAGUGUUUUAAAAAACCCCCAAACACACAUACAUACACCCCUAAGCCCCCAAAACUUCAUGGUUUUCUUCUAGUUUUCAGACAGAAGAAACUAUUCCCAGUCAGCCAUUACUGCCUCCAGGAAGGGGUGGAGUGCUUUAGAAUUCUGCCAGCACUCAGAGCAGUGGAUUUGGAAAGGGAGGAGACCACAGCUGUUCCUUCAUGGUUGCUCAUCCUCUCCCACUCCUGCAGCUAGUCAUUUCAGGAAUGAAGGAAUUGGACUUGCUGUUUUCCUGGCUUGUUUUAGAUCAGCAUAGAGUGAAACUGCAGCAGCAACCACUUAUGUCACUCUCUUGGCCCACUUAGAGCUGAAAUCAGAUGCUCUUUAAAUGCAUGCCAGAAUGACCUGGGGAGUUCAUGAGGAGAGUCCAGACUUACAUGUCUGCAGGCAGAUAACUAUUAUUCUUGGCUGCCUUGGGGUUGUCACAGCCUGAGUUAAAUCACUGCCAGUUGCUGGGGUAUUCUCAGCAGAGGUUUUCAAAGCAGAGAAUUGUGUGCUCUUGAGACAAUUUACAGCAUCACUCUGGACACCAUUUUGCAUGCCUGGACCUGCUUAGGUUUGGGUACAGUAUGCCUCGACUGAUGCAAUUCCAGUGUGAUAUGCUAUUAUUCAUAUCCCAUGAUUUGAGGACAGAGGAAGAACAAGCCUGCAGUGAUAAACUGAAUUACAAUGUAAAGCUGUCUGUCAGAUGUGCUGUAAUUCCACAUUGCAGACUGGUGAAAGGCAUUGUGCUUGAAAUUGUUUCCUUAUAUUUUCAGGUGUAAUGCUAGUGCCAGUUCAAAGAAC